This 171-nucleotide non-coding RNA is filed under the name unclassified sequences. The record is from Rfam.
GCGGAUGAUGACUGCUCUAGACACCGAGAGGGGCCGAAGAAGCAAACCGGGGGAAUGCAUCGUUCCUCUGCGGAAACUGACAGGCAAAAGGAAGGCAGUCGGACGAAUCUUUGGAGAGAAUGCAUUAGCAUCGCCUACGUGGCAAGAACCAACUGGCAAAAGGACAGAGAG